This 5364-nucleotide long non-coding RNA is filed under the name Homo sapiens (human). RNAcentral describes it as "non-protein coding lnc-CCDC85A-2:8". Lineage: Eukaryota; Metazoa; Chordata; Mammalia; Primates; Hominidae. The record is from RNAcentral.
CAUUUUGAAAGUGACCUCAUCUGCUGAGUGAGCUGCAGGGCCGGGAUCCAACACCAGGUGCUGAAUGUGGAGAGGCAAAUAAAAUGGACACACAAGCCUUGACCUCUUGGAGUGAUUAUGAUCAAGAUUAUGAUCAUUGUGACACACAUUAAUCCAGGAAGCAAACAACCAAAUAACUCAUCACCUGUUGGGGAUUCCUUCAGGGAUUUGAGAAGUGCUAGUAAACCACUCACACAAUGAUUUCUCCAGCAGGGAAAGCUCUACCAAUUUCCAGCUCUUCUAAAAAACGAAGUCAUUUUAAUCCCCAUUCUUAAAAAUAUGUGGGUUUUCACACAAAAUAAACUCCUUCAUCGGCCUGAUUCUGUGUUUCUCCUAUUCUGGAAACAAGGUGUCGUAGGGCAGUGGGGUUGAAGGUAAAGGGUAUGGGAGGGAGGGUGUGAUUGUUCAUCUUGAAAACAAGACUUUGUGUGUAUGUGUAUGUGUGUACAUGUGUUUUAAUUUAGAGGAAAAUAAGUGAUCUCUCUUGAUGACACCCAGCAUGGUUUGAGAAUGUUUAUUUUAUGUUAUUCUAUAAAUAAACUGAAUGACUGCCAAGGAAAAAAUAAUCUGAGACAUGAUUCCUAGUGUCUACUCUAGUGAACUACUCUGAAAACUCCGGUCUGCCACUUGGUGUGAGCUCCAGGUUCUUAAAGGAUAGUUUGUCUUCAUGCAUGGGAAGCUUAUGACUUUGGCUUCUUCAUCUAGUUUCCACUUACAAAAAAACUUUUGACAGAAUCUCAGAAUGAUUUAGAAUCUGUCUGUAAUCAAAUGCUGAUAAAUAUUUCCAUUAAUGAGAUGUGCUGCUGAUUUGCUUAUUGCUUACCCUGUGAUAGGUUAUAGGCUAUUUUAUUGGUAAUUUUAAUGAUAAUGAUGAUUUACUACCACUAGUCCAUCAAGGUCAAAUUAUUUCUUAGCUAAAAGUUUAAGUUCUACUCUCCUGACUUAACUGAGCAAGGCAGAUGUAGCCCUAAGAGGUGCAUAUCUUGGGGUAGGAAACCCACCAAUUUAUUUCUUUUUAGACUUUUUGCCUCAAAGGUGGUUUUGAAGCCUCAUGUUUUUUCUGUUGUAAAGUGUCGCCAUUGGGGACAAAAACAUUAUAAAUCAGAAUGGUAAGACUUUGACUGCAAGAUACUGAGUCACCAAAGGGAAGACAGUAUGUCGCAUCCCUGGCUUCUCAAGGAUUUAGAAAAUCAUUCUCCUCUAUGUGCUUUGCAUAUAAUGGGGCAGGUCAGCAUAGAGAGGAUGCAACUCUUUGGCGAAUAUGCAAUGAUUGUCCCCAUAGCUAAUUUGAUAGAUCAACAGAAGAUCAUAGUGGACCUUGUUAUAAGAAAAUAGAGGAAGUAGCCAGGCAAGUUGGCUGACGCCUGUAACCCCAGCACUUUGGGAGGCCAAGGUGGGUGGAUCACUUGAGGCCAGGAGUUUGAGACCAGCCUGGCCAACAAGGCGAAACCCCAUCUCUACUAAAAAUACAAAAAUUAGCUGGGUGUGGUGGUGCACUCCUGUAAUCCCAGCUACACAGGAGGCUGAGGCAGGAAAAUUGGUUGAAUCCAGGAGGUGGAGGCUGCAGUGAGCUGAGAUAGCACCACUGCACUCCAGCCUGGGUGACAGAGCAAGACUCUGUCUCAAAAGUGAAAAAAAAAAAAAAAAAAAAAAAAAAAAAAGAAAAAGGAAAGAAAGAAAUAGAGGAAGAAUAGUUGAACUCUGCAGGAGUUGGUUCACCUACUGAAUUUCCUUUUAGCUUUAAGGAAAAAUCUUCCUUUCCUUCCUCCAAACACUUAUGCCUUUAUUGUCAAAACCAUUCACUUGGCAGUGGCACUUGUCACACUCUGCUUGUAUUGUGAGUAAAAGUUUUGUGUGUGAAAGUCUAAUAUCUCAACUAGAUAAGAGAGUUCCUCAAGGCGAGAGGCCGGGCUUUCCACUUCUUUGUGUCCUUGAAUCAUCUAGCUUUGAAGUUAAUACAUAAUGGUGCAUAAUCCACCAUUUAUUAUUAUAAAUUAUGAAUUAUUGUUAUGAAUUAUUAUUCAAACCAUUGCUACAGCUCAUUAUUCAUACUUGAUGAAAAUUCAGUCAAAGUUAAAAGUAUGUUGCAUUGUUUCUUAUGUAUUUGUAUAGAAUCAAAACAACUUUAUGUUGACUCAUGACCCAAAGUUCUUGUGUAGGGAACUUUCUUUGAACAAGAUUUAUACUCGAAAUUCAGUUUGUUAAAUUCAGUGAGUAUUUACUGAGUUUCUAUCAUGUGAAGUGUUAUAGAGUAUAAAAAAAGAAAGAUAGUAUAUAAGCACUCAAUAAGCUUUUAGUCUAAUACAGGAAUUGGGAAUGGAUUUCAACUUAAAUAUCUCUAUGAAUUGUUAGUAGCUGCUUAGAAUGCUGAUAAGAAUUAUUAGAUUCAGUAUGAAAGAGCAGUAUGAUCAAUUAGUAAAGUCUACCAUUUGCUUAGGAGUGGAGAAUGAUAGCAUGAGUGCCACAGAUUUGAAGAAUAAAUUCAAAGUCUAGAUAGUAGAAGAUUAUUUUUAGUAGAAUCCAGUCAAUUAAUAACUUAAUCAGAUUUGUUUGGUACAAAGUAAGUACCAAAUAUAUAAAUUACAUGAAAUUAUAUAUAUACAUAUUACUAUGCCCAGUCCACCAUAACAAAAUACCAUUGACUGGAUGGCUUAAACAACAGAAAUUUAUUUUCUCAUAAUUCUGGAGGCUAGAAGUCCAAGAUCAAGGUUCCAGCUGAUUUGGUUUUUGGUGAGGGCUCUUUUUCUGGCUUGUUGGCAGCUGCCUUCUUGCUGUGUGUUUACAUGACCUCUUUUAUUUGUGCAUGUGGAAGUAGUCAGUUCUGUGGUAUCUUUUCUUAUAAUGUCACUAAUCCUAUUGGAUCCCACCCCUAUGACCUCAUUUAACCUUAAUUUCUUAGAGGUCCUAUCUCCAAAUACAACCACGUUGGGGGUUAGGGCUUCAACAUAUGGAUUUGGGAGGACAUAAACAUUCAUUUCAUAGAAAUGUGUGAUACAAAGGAUAGCUUCAUGUAGUCUCCUAUUUGAAUAAGGGGAUAUCAUAGAAGUUAUAGAUCCAGAUAGGGUUAUCAUUUUUUAAAAAGCAAGACAUCAGAAUUGAUCAUUAAUUUUUAAAAUAACAGCUGCAUUUAAAGACAUCUGGUCUUACACGUUGUUCAUUGUAGAUCAAGUAAUCUACAUAAUGUGUUUUUAAAAAUUAGAUCUUAUGGGCUUUAAAAGUGAUCUGAAAUUCCUUGUGGAACAGAGUUUCAUCAAAGCCACUCCAAAAGGCCUAUGUAAAAAUAACCAUUCUUGCUGCACUCCAUGCAAAUAAUCAGGCCAAGUAUAAGACUAAAGUUUAUUCAUAAUUAGCUUUUAGAAAAAUGAGGACUGGAGAAAAAAAUUUUGCUCCAAAGCUUAUCAUACAUUUAUCAUUAAAUCCUAGUCUCAUUAAUCAUUUUUAAGCUUUUUGCCUACAUUUUAGACUAACCCUGCUUAUUCCUGUGAAUCAAGUGGUAAUCUUCUGCAGCUUGGGGAAAAAAAAAAAGGGAUGGGUAACGUAAAAAUGUGAAUCAAUAUGCUAGUUCUGGGCAAUUAUCUUGCAAAUUCUGCCUGGUAAUGAAAGUGAGUAAGGUGCCCAUAACCCGGAGGUUUCUUUGUUUGGGAAAAUAAAACCAAGGAACUUCAUAGACCCUCAGAGGGGAAUUCUGUAUCUUGGCAAGUAAAAUUUCAGAUGGAAAUUACCUACCACACCACACUUGUGGGAACUGCUGUCCUCACUCUUCUAUUUGCAAUAGGGUUAUCCAUGGUAUCACCUUCUAACUUAAAUAUUGGACAGAGAGUUUCCAUUGCUGUCAUGUUUUGCUUAAUUAGUAUCUUUAUGGUAGGGAUAAUAUUUACUGACAAAAAGGAAGCAUGAAAGUUUUACUGUCACUGAGUCUGCUAGGACUUUUUAUUGGGUUUAGUGAUGAAGUUUUAAAUGAAACAUGCUGCUUUUGGAUUAACACCUCUAAUAAAGUAGAGGAAAAUCUACAGGUACUUAAAAAUCAAAUAAAAAUUAUUAACAGGCUCAGAGAAAAUGCUGGCUUCAGCCCCGGGUGGCUACAAUCCCUCUUUAAUGAAUUCUGGUCUUUAUGGAAUUGGUUAACCCCUUUAUUAAGCCCUCUCUUACUUAUAUGUCUUGUAUUGAUAUUUGGACCCUUUAUACUCAAUACUGUAACUCGAAUUGUUUCUUCUUGCCUAGAAGCAAUCAAAUGCCAAAUGGUGCUGUAAACUGAACCACACAUGGACAUGCCAUUCUUCCAAGGACCCUUAGAUCAACCCCAGGAGGAGCCCUAGCUGCUGUUCCCCAUUCAACGCCCCUUUUUUGCAGGAAGUAGCCAGAAAGAGUCGUCGUCCCAAACCCCCUGACAGCAGUUACUGUGGCAUCUUCACAGUGGGGGCUGUUGUAAGAGUUAUUAAGAAAUUAUUUUAGGCAGAUAGAGAGGACAAGGGGUCCUUGGGAAGUUUUCAUUUUUUAAAGCAUCUCCAGAAAUGUUUUCUUGUGAAGUUCCGGCUCUUAGAGCCAGGCUGGCAACCUUUGAUAUGCAAAUGCCAACCAUUAGAAACUGGGUCUACCCAAACAUGGAGAUUCCCUCAGCCUUCUUGCCCUUUUCCCACAUGUUCCCGGCAGCAUGGCCCCCACCUAUCCCCACGUGUGUAGAACAUCAUGGUGCAUUGUAUUUGCAUAUUAAAAGGCUAGGGUGGGAGGGCCAGCUUUUUUGCAAGCUACAUGAAUGACAUGCCUAGUCAAACCAAUCCCCUGAGCCCUGUGCAAAUCAGACAUCGCCUCCUCCAGCCUCUGCAUAUAUACCUGGCUGGUGUCCACCGUACUUGGGGACCUCCUCUUUUGGCUUUGGAGCACCCCCUCCCCAUCUCUGUAUGGGGGAGCCUCUUCCUUCUGUCUUCUCUCUUUAAUUUUUAAAACAAAAUUUAAAAUUUUUCUUUCUUGCCUAUUAAACUCUCUGCUCCUUAAAACAAAACAAAACAAAACAAAAUUAGAUCAGGCUAGGUGCUGUGGCUCAUGCUUAUAAUCCCAGCACUUUGGGAGGCUGAGACAGGUGGAUUGCUUGAGCUCAGGAGUUUCAGACCAGCCUAAGGCAAUAUGGUGAAACCCCAUCUCUACAAAAGAUACAAAAAUUAGCUGGGCAUGGUGGUGUGUGCCUGUGGUCCCAGCUACUUGGGAGGUUGAGUCGGGAGGAUGGCUUGACUCUGGGGGCAGAGGUUACAGUAACUCUAGAUCACACCACUGCACUCCCGCCUGGGCAACAGAGCCAGACUCUGUUUCAAAAAAAAAAUUACAUCAAGC